RNAcentral lists this ribosomal RNA (425 nucleotides) under uncultured bacterium. Its description in RNAcentral is "partial 16S ribosomal RNA". It matches the Rfam family "Bacterial small subunit ribosomal RNA", at positions 354 to 796 of the family's 1533-position model. The record is from RNAcentral.
GUGGGGAAUCUUAGACAAUGGGCGCAAGCCUGAUCUAGCCAUGCCGCGUGAGCGAUGAAGGCCUUAGGGUUGUAAAGCUCUUUCGUGGGGGAAGAUAAUGACUGUACCCCAAGAAGAAGCCCCGGCUAACUCCGUGCCAGCAGCCGCGGUAAUACGGAGGGGGCUAGCGUUGUUCGGAAUUACUGGGCGUAAAGCGCACGUAGGCGGACUGGAAAGUCAGGGGUGAAAUCCCGGGGCUCAACCCCGGAACUGCCUUUGAAACUCCCAGUCUUGAGUUCGAGAGAGGUGAGUGGAAUUCCGAGUGUAGAGGUGAAUGUCGUAGAUAUUCGGAGGAACACCAGUGGCGAAGGCGGCUCACUGGCUCGAUACUGACGCUGAGGUGCGAAAGCGUGGGGAGCAAACAGGAUUAGAAACCCGGGUAGUCC